ACAGGGAUUGCCUCAGUAACGGCGAGUGAAGCGGCAACAGCUCAAAUUUGAAAUCUGGCCCUAGGCCCGAGUUGUAAUUUGCAGAGGAUGCUUCUGGCGCGGUGCCUUCCAAGUCCCCUGGAACGGGGCGCCAUAGAGGGUGAGAGCCCCGUCGGGUUGGCCGCCAAGCCUGUGUGAAGCUCCUUCGACGAGUCGAGUAGUUUGGGAAUGCUGCUCUAAACGGGAGGUAGACCCCUUCUAAAGCUAAAUACCGGCCAGAGACCGAUAGCGCACAAGUAGAGUGAUCGAAAGAUGAAAAGCACUUUGAAAAGAGGGUUAAACAGUACGUGAAAUUGUUGAAAGGGAAGCGCUUGUGACCAGACGUGCACCGGGUGUUCAGCGGGCGUUCUCGCCCGUGCAUUCGCCCCGGUGCAGGCCAGCGUCGGUUUGGGCGGGGGGAUAAAGGCGCCAGGAACGUAUCUCCCCCGGGAGUGUUAUAGCCUGGUGCGUCAUGCCCCCGCCUGGACCGAGGUUCGCGCUCCGCAAGGACGCUGGCGUAAUGGUCCCCAGCGGCCCGUCUUGAAACACGGACCAAGGAGUCGAGGUUUUACGCGAGUGUCUGGGUGUCAAACCCGCACGCGUAAUGAAAGUGAACGUAGGUGGGAGCUUCGGCGCACCACCGACCGAUCCUGAUGUUUUCGGAUGGAUUUGAGUAGGAGCGUAGGGCCUCGGACCCGAAAGAUGGUGAACUAUACUUGGAUAGGGUGAAGCCAGAGGAAACUCUGGUGGAGGCUCGCAGCGGUUCUGACGUGCAAAUCGAUCGUCAAAUCUGAGUAUGG
This 818-nucleotide ribosomal RNA is filed under the name Codinaea terminalis. RNAcentral describes it as "Dictyochaeta terminalis partial large subunit ribosomal RNA". It matches the Rfam family "Eukaryotic large subunit ribosomal RNA", at positions 68 to 920 of the family's 3401-position model. The record is from RNAcentral. Lineage: Eukaryota; Fungi; Ascomycota; Sordariomycetes; Chaetosphaeriales; Chaetosphaeriaceae.